UGGGGAAUAUUGCACAAUGGAGGGAACUCUGAUGCAGCGACGCCGCGUGAACGAAGAAGGCUUUCGAGUCGUAAAGUUCUUUUAUAUGGGAAGAUAAUGACGGUACCAUAAGAAAAAGCCCCGGCUAACUACGUGCCAGCAGCCGCGGUAAUACGUAGGGGGCUAGCGUUGUCCGGAAUCACUGGGCGUAAAGGGUUCGCAGGCGGAAAUGCAAGUCAGGUGUAAAAGGCAGUAGCUUAACUACUGUAAGCAUUUGAAACUGCAUAUCUUGAGAAGAGUAGAGGUAAGUGGAAUUUUUAGUGUAGCGGUGAAAUGCGUAGAUAUUAGGAGGAAUACCGGUGGCGAAGGCGACUUUCUGGACUUGAACUGACGCUGAGGCACGAAAGCGUGGGGAGCAAACAGG
This 403-nucleotide ribosomal RNA is filed under the name Verrucomicrobiota bacterium. RNAcentral describes it as "Verrucomicrobia bacterium partial 16S ribosomal RNA". It matches the Rfam family "Bacterial small subunit ribosomal RNA", at positions 355 to 776 of the family's 1533-position model. Lineage: Bacteria; Pseudomonadati; Verrucomicrobiota. The record is from RNAcentral.